GAUGAACGCUGGCGGCGUGCCUAAUACAUGCAAGUCGAGCGAACAGACGAGGAGCUUGCUCCUCUGACGUUAGCGGCGGACGGGUGAGUAACACGUGGAUAACCUACCUAUAAGACUGGGAUAACUUCGGGAAACCGGAGCUAAUACCGGAUAAUAUAUUCAACCGCAUGGUUCAAUAGUGAAAGACGGUUUUGCUGUCACUUAUAGAUGGAUCCGCGCCGCAUUAGCUAGUUGGUAAGGUAACGGCGUACCAAGGCGACGAUGCGUAGCCGACCUGAGAGGAUGAUCGGCCACACUGGAACUGAGACACGGUCCAGACUCCUACGGGAGGCAGCAGUAGGGAAUCUUCCGCAAUGGGCGAAAGCCUGACGGAGCAAUGCCGCGUGAGUGAUGAAGGUCUUCGGAUCGUAAAACUCUGUUAUUAGGGAAGAACAAAUGUGUAAGUAACUAUGCACGUCUUGACGGUACCUAAUCAGAAAGCCACGGCUAACUACGUG
This 497-nucleotide ribosomal RNA is filed under the name uncultured bacterium. RNAcentral describes it as "partial 16S ribosomal RNA". It matches the Rfam family "Bacterial small subunit ribosomal RNA", at positions 28 to 507 of the family's 1533-position model. The record is from RNAcentral.